Molecule: ribosomal RNA, 497 nt
Filed under: uncultured bacterium
Lineage: Bacteria
Description: partial 16S ribosomal RNA
Rfam family: Bacterial small subunit ribosomal RNA
Source: RNAcentral
GACGAACGCUGGCGGCGUGCCUAAUACAUGCAAGUAGAACGCCGAAGCGAGGAUCUUGCUCUUCUUGGAUGAGUUGCGAACGUGUGUGUAACGCGUAUGUAACCUGCCUUUUAUCGGGGUAUAACUAUUGGAAACGAUAGCUAAUACCGCAUAACAUUUUAUUACACAUUUCUUUUAUUUUAAUUUUGCCAUUGCUCCACUACAACAUGGACCUGCGUUGUAUUAGCUAGUAGGUGAGGUAAUGGCUCACCUAGGCGACGAUACAUAGCCGACCUGAGAGGGUGAACGGCAAAAAUGGGAGGGAGACAAGGAACAGAAGAAGAAGGGAGGCAGAAGGAGGGAAACGGGGGAAAUGGGGGGAAAAGAGACCGAGAAAAGCGGAGUGAGUGAAGAAGGUUUUCGGAUCGUAAAGCUCGGUUGUAAGUCAAGAAAGGGUGUGAGAGUGGAAAGAACACAGAGUGACGGUAGCGGAAAAGAAAGGGACGGCUAACUACGUG